This 245-nucleotide ribosomal RNA is filed under the name uncultured phototrophic eukaryote. Its description in RNAcentral is "partial 16S ribosomal RNA". It matches the Rfam family "Bacterial small subunit ribosomal RNA", at positions 439 to 700 of the family's 1533-position model. The record is from RNAcentral.
UCAGAGAAGAAUUUUGACGGUAUCUGAGGAAUAAGCAUCGGCUAACUCCGUGCCAGCAGCCGCGGUAAGACGGAGGAUGCAAGCGUUAUCCGGAAUGAUUGGGCGUAAAGCGUCUGUAGGCGGUUUCUUCAGUCGACUGUCAAAGAUCAGGGCUUAACCCUGGGCAGGCAGUCGAAACUAAGAAGCUUGAGUACGGUAGGGGCAGAGGGAAUUCCCGGUGUAGCGGUGAAAUGCGUAGAGAUCGG